RNAcentral lists this ribosomal RNA (307 nucleotides) under uncultured eukaryote. RNAcentral describes it as "partial 18S ribosomal RNA". It matches the Rfam family "Eukaryotic small subunit ribosomal RNA", at positions 1470 to 1796 of the family's 1831-position model. The record is from RNAcentral.
CCCUUAGACGUUCUGGGCCGCACGCGCGCUACACUGACGAAGGCAACGAGCUACUCUUCACCGAAAGGUGUGGGCAAUCUUUUGAAACUUCGUCGUGCUGGGGAUAGAUCCUUGCAAUUUUUGAUCUUAAACGAGGAAUUCCUAGUAAGCGCAAGUCAUCAACUUGCGUUGAUUACGUCCCUGCCCUUUGUACACACCGCCCGUCGCUACUACCGAUUGAAUGGUUUAGUGAGGCCUUCGGAUCCGCGAUUUUAUUGUGGAGAAGUUGGACAAACUCAGUCAUUUAGAGGAAGUAAAAGUCGUAACA